This 433-nucleotide ribosomal RNA is filed under the name uncultured bacterium. RNAcentral describes it as "partial 16S ribosomal RNA". It matches the Rfam family "Bacterial small subunit ribosomal RNA", at positions 29 to 507 of the family's 1533-position model. The record is from RNAcentral.
AGCGAACGCUGGCGGCAGGCCUAACACAUGCAAGUCGAACGGAUCCUUCGGGAUUAGUGGCGGACGGGUGAGUAACACGUGGGAACGUGCCCUUUGGUUCGGAACAACUCAGGGAAACUUGAGCUAAUACCGGAUGUGCCCUUCGUGGGAAAGAUUUAUCGCCAUUGGAUCGGCCCGCGUCUGAUUAGCUAGUUGGUGAGGUAACGGCCCACCAAGGCGACGAUCAGUAGCUGGUCUGAGAGGAUGAUCAGCCACACUGGGACUGAGACACGGACCAGACUCCUACGGGAGGCAGCAGUGGGGAAUCUUGCGCAAUGGGCGAAAGCCUGACGCAGCCAUGCCGCGUGAAUUAUGAAGGUCUUAGGAUUGUAAAAUUCUUUCAGCGGGGACGAUAAUGACGGUACCCGAAGAAGAAGCUCCGGCUAACUUCGUG